Clupea harengus (Atlantic herring) is the source of this 1652-nucleotide long non-coding RNA. The record is from Ensembl. NCBI's taxonomy places the organism in Eukaryota, Metazoa, Chordata, Actinopteri, Clupeiformes, Clupeidae.
GCCUUCAGGACAGCUGCAGCCGCCCUAGGAAGAGCUUCUGACACUGUCCACCUCGAAGCAACCUCUACCUAUGCCACCAUCAGAGCGAUCUCUGACGCCGUCAACGCAGCCUUUGGAGCUUCCACCCUUGAAGCAAGCUCCGCCGCCCUCGAAGCUGCCUUUGUAGCAUUGGAAAGAUUUUCUGUCACACCCAAAGAAGCCUCUGGCGCUGCCUUGCUCGAUGCAGCUUCUGCUGCCAUCGAUGCAGCCUCUGCCACCCUCGAAGCAGCCUCUGAUGCUGCCGCCUCCGAGGUCGUCUCUGCUGCCCCAGAUGUAGCCUCCGUCGCUACCACUCCCAAAGCAGCCUCUGCCUCUCCCGAAGCAGCUUCUGAUGCUGCCACCCCCGAAGCAUCCUCUGACGCUGCCGCCCCGGAAGCAGCCUCUGACGCUGCCGCCCCAGAAGCAGCCUCUGACGCUGCCGCCCCCGACAUAGCCUCUAUCGCUACCACCCCAGAAGCAGCCUCUGACGCUACCGCCCCCGACGUAGCCUCUGUCGCUACCACCCCAGAAGCAGCCUCUGAUGCCACUGACGUAGCCUCCGUCGCUACCGCUCCCGAAGCACCCACUGCUGCCCCCGACGUAGUCUCUGUUGCUAGCAACCCCGAAGCAGCCUCUGUCGCUGCUGUCCCUGAAGCAGCCUCUGAUGCCACUGACGUAGCCUCCGUCGCUACCGCUCCCGACGCACCCACUGCUGCCCCCAACGUAGCCUCUGUUGCUAGCAACCCCGAAGCAGCCUCUGUCGCUGCUGUCCCUGAAGCAGUCUCUGAAGAAAUUGCUGAUGGUGACGCCACUGAGGCCUACGCCACAGCAGAACCAGCCGCCGCAGAUCAAGCCGCCGCUCUCCCUGCAGACCGAGCCGUCGCUCACCCUGCAGACCCGGCCGUCGCUGACCCUGCAGACCCAGCCGUCGCUGACCCAGCAGACCCAGCCGACGCUCACCCAGCUUGUGCGUACCCUACAGCCAGCACUGCCGACCCGGACCCCGCAGCCACCGCUGCCGACCCGCACCCCGCAGCUGACCCGGACCCUGCUGCCACAGCUGCCAACCAAGAUCCUCCAGCAUCCGUUUCCGAUGCAGGCCCAGCAGCACCCUCUGCCGAGACCGGUCCAGCAGCACCUUCUGAUGGCGUCGCUGCUGAGGGCUCUGCUGUUCCAAGCGCCCCUGGCCGGAGUGCCCCUGUCCCGAGCGCCCCUGUCCCGAGCGCCCCAGGCUCCCCUGUCCCGAGCGCCCCAGGCUCCCCUGUCCCGAGCGCCCCAGGCUCCCCUGUCCCGAGCGCCCCAGGCUCCCCUGUCCCGAGCGUCCCAGGCUCCCCGGUCCCGAGCGUCCCAGGCGCCCCGGUCCCGAGCGUCUCCGGCGUUCCUGUCCAAGGUGUCCUUGCGCCGGUUCCAGGCGUCCAUGCGCCGGCCCCAGGCGCUCCGGACCCUGUCUCCAGUGUUCCUGGGUUCCCUGUCCCAGCUGCAGCAGACCCAGGAUUCGGUGCUGCCAGCCCUAAUGAUCCAGCGAGUCCAGGUGCCACGUCUACCCCAGCCACUGGCCCUGCAACCCCAAACACCAAUCGAUAUCGCUGGCAUCUAUUUGUUGUUAGGGUUGUUGUUGUGUUUAUUGUUGGUCU